GUGAGAAGUGCAACUGCUACUGACCAUCUGCACUGGCAUCUAGUCAAGCGAUUGUCUGAGGCAAGAUUUUGGAGAUUCCCAUCUGAUAUUCUUCUAUUUGGUCUCUUGUACCCAUUGUCAUCCUGUACCACACAUAAUAAAGUUUAAGAAUGUCAAGCAA
This 160-nucleotide small RNA is filed under the name Pan troglodytes (chimpanzee). RNAcentral describes it as "processed transcript". The record is from RNAcentral. Lineage: Eukaryota; Metazoa; Chordata; Mammalia; Primates; Hominidae.